This 125-nucleotide transfer RNA is filed under the name Mesonia aestuariivivens. Its description in RNAcentral is "tRNA-OTHER". It matches the Rfam family "tRNA". Rfam says of the family: Transfer RNA (tRNA) molecules are approximately 80 nucleotides in length. Lineage: Bacteria; Pseudomonadati; Bacteroidota; Flavobacteriia; Flavobacteriales; Flavobacteriaceae. The record is from RNAcentral.
GGAAAAGUGGUGAAAUCGGUUAGACGCACCCAAUCUUGAGGGAUUCAGAAGAGGCGAAGAGAUUAAGCCGUUUUUUGACAAGGUCCUUAGACUUCUGAAUGCAGGUUCGAGUCCUGCCUUUUCCA